This is a long non-coding RNA of Hemibagrus wyckioides, 3172 nucleotides long. RefSeq lists it as uncharacterized. NCBI's taxonomy places the organism in Eukaryota, Metazoa, Chordata, Actinopteri, Siluriformes, Bagridae. The transcript is spliced from 3 exons. The record is from RefSeq and is a predicted model, not a curated record.
CCCGUGUAAACAAGUCAUUAUUCAGCUACCAUGCAGCUUCACAUUUCAGCUACUCACAAAUGGCAGUUCUAUUUUACCAUACAGAAAAUCAAUCUUUAUGUCAUAUUAGUUGUGUUAAAUGCGAAAAGAUAUUUAUAUUUGUGUUGUGUUCCAAAUUAAAAUAAAAGAAAAACGCGUUUUAAAUGAAUAUAUUUCACUGUCACGAGCGUGCGUACAUUGCUGUACAGUAGUGAAGUGAACAGAGAGCUCAGCUGACGACUUGGCAGGGCUGAACAAAAACAGUAACAAGCGCGAGGGAGGGGAGGAGGCGCGUACACACUCACACACGCGCCCUCGUGUUGAAUUCGUACACCAUUUUGGUUGUGUGAAGAAAAGGAAGAGGAGGAACAUAGAGACUCCUGAAUCCCCUGCCACUCCCGACGUGUAGAGGCAACUUUAGUAAACUGCACACGCUCCGAAGGAACAAAAUGGGAGCGGGCGAGGAGAACCCGGAACCAUCUAAGGUCAAGCCAUGAUACUACUUCAAUCUGCUUGACCAAGAAGCUUGUAUGUCUUGGAUCAUGGGAUUGGAUUUCUUUCUCUACAAUUCAGCCUUUCCAUCAGUUGGGUAGAGGUUAAUCUUGGUUCCAAAGUCCAGUCUGGCUUUUCAUCUUGUACUUACUAUGAGUGCAUUGCAUCUUAUGUUCUCACAGUUACUGUCUUCAGCUGCUGUUUUUAUUGACUGACCAGUCUAGUACGCCAGAUAUUUUUUUUUCAUGGACAUUGUUGUGUUAUUGGCUAUGCUCAAUGCUUAUGCAAUGGCUUUUAUCAGUUUUCCCUACAUCAGUAUGGCUUGCUGUUCACUCACUUUUCAAGCUUAUUUGUCUUUUUUAUUUUUUAAGAACAAAUGCUGCCUGUACAUGUAACAAGAAACAUCUGUCAUCCAGAUGUUCAUGAGGAGUUCAUAGGCAUAUAGAGUGUUUUGGUGGACCACCCCCCCAUGCCUUCACUUAGAUUUGUUGACAGUGGAGUGGUCCCAGGAAGCCUUCAUGUCUGUGUGACCGUCUGGCUCAUCCUUUUAGUUAUACUGUCAUAGAUAGUCUUGGUGGACUCCCUGCUUGCACUCAGUCACCCCACAUUGCUGAUCCUGAGAUACCAGUGUUCCUGACCCCUGUUUUCUGUACCUGCCUGAUCCAUUCUUAUGAUCUGCUUCUAGUUUGAGUCUCAUCACUUGGAGGCUGCUCACUAGUGCUAAUGAUGGCCCCACACGGACAGGCUGGAGAUACAUGGGAUUACUGUAGAUAGUUUCACUUAGAAACCAUAGCUUUGGCAUUUUGCUUGAUCAUUAGACAUACAUUUCAAAAUUGAUCAUUUAUAUUUCUUUAAAGGAGCUUUGUGACAUUGUCCAUUGUUAAAAGCAGUAUACAAAUAAAAUGUGCCAAUAUUUUUGAUCACUUUAAUAAUAGGGGGUUCAUACAAAAGGUGCCAGGUUCAAAGUUAUUUAACUCAUCUAAAUAUCAUGUAAAUAUCAGGAAGUAAACAUUGAAGUUCUGUUUUAUCAUCUCAUAUUUAUUUUUUGAUCAGUGUAUAGCAAAAACAAUUCCAAUGCUUUGAGAUGGUAGUCAGUUCAUAUGCACAUUUAAUAAAUAUAAUUCUUUAAUUUUCUGUGUUGUAUAAUUCUUUUGUUGUUAUUAUAUUCAGUUUUUAUGUUAGGUUCCACUCCUGUAGUACUCCUUUACUGUACUACUUAAAGCAACUUACAUUUAAUGAACAUCAAAAACCAUGUCAAAGCAAAUGAUAUAUGUCAAUGUACAGUAUAGCCAGACAUUUUACUAUCCUCCUAAAAUUUUACAUUUAAAUUGCUUUUCACUAGAUUUCCUUGUGUUUAUAAUUUGCAUGCUCUUCCUGCACUUCAGGGGUUUCCCCAGUCCAAAUACAUGCACUGUAGGCUGAUUGGUAUCUCUAAAUUGUCCAUAGUGUGAGAAUGGUUUGUGAGUGUGCGUGAUUGUGCCAUAUUGUGCCUCGAGUCCCCUGGAUGGAGUAUUUGUGAGAUUGAUCAGACAGGGGAAGACUUUGUGGCCACAGAAAAUAGGUAAAAUGGAUAUGAACUAUAACAUCUGCUCAUAUGGCAGCAACACAAUGCAGAAAUUCAUGUAGAUGCAUGUCAAGAGCAUGAUUCAAUGUUUUUUUCUUGCGAAGCAGCUUUACAGGAAAAAAAAAUCAGAAAAAAUUAUAAAUUUUAAAUUUAGAUUUAUCCCUAACAAGCAAGCCAGCAGUAAUGGUGGCAAGAAAAACCUGACUGAGAUGAUAUGAGGAAGAAACCAUGAGAGGAGCCACACUCAAAAGAGAACCCAUUCUCAUCCUCUGUGACACCAGAUAGUGCGAUAGUGUGUAAUAAUUUCCUUUCUGUAACUGUACACUAUAUAGUCAAAUACAAUUUUGUAUUCCAGAGCUUUUAAGCAAUUUAUGAAUAUUAGCACCAGCAUAAUUUCCAAAUUCAGUAUAGAUCUUACAUACAUUUCAUCAAAUGUUCAAUGACAGAGACCUCUGUGGCAACAGCAGUCCAAAGCCAUCUCCAUGGUCUACAAGUAGUAUUAUCCACAGCAGUUCCAUGUAUCUCUAGGUAAUCCACGUGGGGCUAUUCUCACCACUAAUGAGCAAUCUCCAAAUGAUGAGAACCACCCAGAAGUAGGGCAUCAGAAGGGAUCAGGCAGGUGAGCCAUGGUGAGCAGAAGCAGUCAGGAGCACUGGUACCUCAGGAGUAGCAUGUGUAUCUUGAAAGUGAGAGAGACACACAUACAGAGAGACAUGCUUAUGUUAGACAUAUGCAGUGUUAACAUGUCAUCGUUAAAAACAAUGUUCAGUGUGUGCAGAGUCCAAGCAGGGACUCUGACAAUACUAGCUAUAACAACAUAACUAAACGCAAGAUUCUUGACACAGACAUGAAGGCUUUCUAGGAUGUAAAGCAGCCAGCCACUGCUAUAUAUAUAUAUAUAUAUCAGGUGAAAUUUAUGGAAAAUGUAAAAAGUUCAUCCUACAGUGAUGUUAUAUAAUGAUAUGGCAUUUAAGUAGAAGUAUGCAAUGGUGAUUUCCUCAUCUCAAACAAUUUAUUGAAACAAAAGACAACAACAGUGGUGGGUAUACCACAACAAAAAAUGUCAAUGUCUCAAUAAUUUGUCAUGUGCCCUUCACC